RNAcentral lists this ribosomal RNA (468 nucleotides) under uncultured bacterium. RNAcentral's name for it is "partial 16S ribosomal RNA". It matches the Rfam family "Bacterial small subunit ribosomal RNA", at positions 28 to 507 of the family's 1533-position model. The record is from RNAcentral.
GACGAACGCUGGCGGCGUGCUUAACACAUGCAAGUCGAACGGAAAGGCCCUGCUUUUGUGGGGUGCUCGAGUGGCGAACGGGUGAGUAACACGUGAGUAACCUGCCCUUGACUUUGGGAUAACUUGAGGAAACGGGGGAUAAUACCGGAUAGGAGCUCCUGCUGCAUGGUGGGGGUUGGAAAGUUUCGGCGGUUGGGGAUGGACUCGCGGCUUAUCAGCGUGUUGGUGGGGUAGUGGCUCCCCAAGGCUAUGACGGGUAGCCGGCCUGAGAGGGUGACCGGCCACACUGGGACUGAGAUACGGCCCAGACUCCUACGGGAGGCAGCAGUGGGGAAUAUUGCACAAUGGGCGGAAGCCUGAUGCAGCAACGCCGCGUGAGGGAUGACGGCCUUCGGGUUGUAAACCGCUUUCAGCAGUGAAGAAGCGAAAGUGACGGUACCUGCAGAAGAAGCACCGGCUAACUACGUG